RNAcentral lists this transfer RNA (73 nucleotides) under Ovis aries (sheep). It matches the Rfam family "tRNA". Rfam says of the family: Transfer RNA (tRNA) molecules are approximately 80 nucleotides in length. Their secondary structure includes four short double-helical elements and three loops (D, anti-codon, and T loops). The record is from Rfam by way of RNAcentral. Lineage: Eukaryota; Metazoa; Chordata; Mammalia; Artiodactyla; Bovidae.
UCCCUGAUGGUCCAGUGGCUAAGACUCUGAGUUCCCAAUGCAGGGAGCCCAGGUUCAAUUCCUGGUCAAGAAA